Molecule: ribosomal RNA, 1253 nt
Filed under: Lactobacillus helveticus
Lineage: Bacteria; Bacillati; Bacillota; Bacilli; Lactobacillales; Lactobacillaceae
Description: bacterial LSU rRNA
Rfam family: Bacterial large subunit ribosomal RNA
Source: RNAcentral
GCCAUCAUUCAAAGAGUGCGUAAUAGCUCACUAGUCGAGUGACGCUGCGCCGAAAAUUUACCGGGGCUAAGCAUAGUACCGAAACUGUGGAUGUACGUAAGUACGUGGUAGGAGAGCGUUCUAAGUGCGGCGAAGGUUAACCGAGAGGAUAAUUGGAGCGCUUAGAAGUGAGAAUGCCGGUAUGAGUAGCGAAAGAUAGGUGAGAAUCCUAUCCGCCGAAAGACUAAGGUUUCCUGGGGCAGGCUCGUCCGCCCAGGGUAAGUCGGGACCUAAGGCAAGGCCGAGAGGCGUAGUCGAUGGAUAACAGGUAGAUAUUCCUGUACUGUGUUCAAUCGUUAAGAGCGAAGGAGGGACGCAGGAGGUGAAGCACGCAUCGCGAUGGAACGAUGUUCAAGCGACAAGUGCGGUUAAGAGUCAAAUGCUUCUAACCAGCAACACGAGUCGUGAUGAGGAGCGAAUUAAAAGUAGCGAAGGUGUGGUAGUCACACUGCCAAGAAAAGCUUCUAGCCAGAGAGAACAUACCCGUACCGCAAACCGACACAGGUAGUCGAGUGGAGAACACUAAGGUGAGCGAGAGAACUCUCGUUAAGGAACUCGGCAAAAUGACCCCGUAACUUCGGAAGAAGGGGUGCUGGCCAUGAGAAUGGUUAGCCGCAGUGAAUAGGCCCAAACAACUGUUUAUCAAAAACACAGGUCUCUGCAAAAUCGUAAGAUGACGUAUAGAGGCUGACACCUGCCCGGUGCUGGAAGGUUAAGAGGAGAGCUUAGCGUAAGCGAAGGUUUGAAUUGAAGCCCCAGUAAACGGCGGCCGUAACUAUAACGGUCCUAAGGUAGCGAAAUUCCUUGUCGGGUAAGUUCCGACCUGCACGAAAGGUGUAAUGAUUUGGGCACUGUCUCAACGAGAGACUCGGUGAAAUUAUAAUACCCGUGAAGAUGCGGGUUACCCGCGACAGGACGGAAAGACCCCAUGGAGCUUUACUGUAGCUUGAUAUUGAGUAUCUUUUAAACAUGUACAGGAUAGGUAGGAGCCAAGGAAAGCAGGACGCUAGUUUUGCUGGAGGCGAUGUUGGGAUACUACCCUUGUUUGAAGGAUGCUCUAACCUCGACCUGUAAGCCAGGCCAGGGACAGUGUCAGGUGGGCAGUUUGACUGGGGCGGUCGCCUCCUAAAGUGUAACGGAGGCGCUCAAAGGUUCCCUCAGAAUGGUUGGAAAUCAUUCGCAGAGUGUAAAGGUAUAAGGGAGCUUGACUGCGA